RNAcentral lists this ribosomal RNA (392 nucleotides) under uncultured Bacteroidota bacterium. Its description in RNAcentral is "bacterial SSU rRNA". It matches the Rfam family "Bacterial small subunit ribosomal RNA", at positions 584 to 975 of the family's 1533-position model. The record is from RNAcentral. Lineage: Bacteria; Pseudomonadati; Bacteroidota.
UAAGUCAGAGGUGAAAUCCCACAGCUUAACUGUGGAACUGCCUUUGAUACUGUUAGUCUUGAGUCAUAAUGAAGUAGAUGGAAUGUGUAGUGUAGCGGUGAAAUGCAUAGAUAUUACACAGAACACCGAUUGCGAAGGCAGUCUACUAAUUAUGUACUGACGCUAAUGGACGAAAGCGUGGGUAGCGAACAGGAUUAGAUACCCUGGUAGUCCACGCCGUAAACGAUGGAUACUAGCUGUUGGGUUCAAUUAGUUGGACUCUGUGGAAGCAAAGUGAUAAGUAUCCCACCUAGGGAGUACGUUCGCAAGAAUGAAACUCAAAGGAAUGGACGGGGGCCCGCACAAGCGGUGGAGCAUGUGGUUUAAUUCGAUGAUACGCGAGGAACCUUACC